RNAcentral lists this ribosomal RNA (255 nucleotides) under uncultured bacterium. Its description in RNAcentral is "partial 16S ribosomal RNA". It matches the Rfam family "Bacterial small subunit ribosomal RNA", at positions 524 to 777 of the family's 1533-position model. The record is from RNAcentral.
UACGGGGGGGGGCAAGCGUUGUUCGGAAUUACUGGGCGUAAAGGGCUCGUAGGCGGCCAACUAAGUCCGACGUGAAAUCCCCAGGCUUAACCUGGGAACUGCGUCGGAUACUGGAUGGCUUGAAUUCGGGAGAGGGAUGCAGAAUUCCAGGUGUAGCGGUGAAAUGCGUAGAUAUCUGGAGGAAUACCGGUGGCGAAGGCGGCAUCCUGGACCGACAUUGACGCUGAUGAGCGAAAGCUAGGGGAGCAAACGGGG